GGAAGGAUCAUUAAUGGGUAACGGCCUCGCGCCGCAAUCCCCACCCUUUGCAACCGCGGCCCGGAUUCGGCGCCUGGCGGGGACCCCCUCUGUUCGCGGAGGCCCCCCGCCUGCCGGAAUCAGCCAACCCUGCCUGGAAAACUGAAGUCUGAGAACAAGUUAAAUCAAACAAAACUUUCAACAACGGAUCUCUUGGUUCUGGCAACGAUGAAGAACGCAGCGAAAUGCGAUAAGUAAUGUGAAUUGCAGAAUUCAGUGAAUCAUCGAAUCUUUGAACGCACAUUGCGCCCCCUGGUAUUCCGGGGGGCACACCUGUUCGAGCGCCAUUUCUACCCUGGAGCCCUGCUCUGUGAUGGGCCCCGUCCUCGCGGACGGGCCCGAAACCCGUGGGCGCCGUCGUCCGGCCCUGAGCGUAGCAAGAGAAAUCCCUCGCUCGGUGAGUCGCACGGUGGCCGCCCCGACCUAUUCUUACAAGGUUGGCCUCGGAUCAGGUGGGGAUACCCGCUGAACUUAAGCAUAUCAAUAAGCGGAGGAAAAGAAACCAACAGGGAUUGCCUCAGUAACGGCGAGUGAAGCGGCAACAGCUCAAAUUUGAAAUCUGGCUCACGCCCGAGUUGUAAUUUGUAGAGGAUGCUUCGGGUGAAGCCGCGGUCCAAGUCCCUUGGAACAGGACGUCAUAGAGGGUGAGAACCCCGUACCUGGCCGCCGGUGCCCCCCGCUGUGAAGCUCCUUCGACGAGUCGAGUUGUUUGGGAAUGCAGCUCUAAAUUGGUGGUAAAUUCCAUCUAAAGCUAAAUACCGGCCAGAGACCGAUAGCGCACAAGUAGAGUGAUCGAAAGAUGAAAAGCACUUUGAAAAGAGAGUUAAAAAGUACGUGAAAUUGUUGAAAGGGAAGCGCUUGCGGCCAGACUUGCCCGCGGUUGCUCAGCCCGCCUUUUGGCGGGUGCACUCUUCCGCGGUCAGGCCAGCAUCGGUUUGGGCGGUCGGAUAAAGGCGUUGGGAACGUGGCCUCCCCUCGGGGAGGUGUUAUAGCCCGGCGCGCAAUGCGACCAGCCCGGACCGAGGUUCGCGCUUUGCUAGGAUGCUGGCGUAAUGGCCGUAAGCGGCCCGUCUUGAAACACGGACCAAGGAGUCUAACAUCUAUGCGAGUGUUUGGGUGUCAAACCCGUGCGCGUAAUGAAAGUGAACGGAGGUGGGAACCGCAAGGUGCACCAUCGACCGAUCCUGAUGUCUUCGGAAGGAUUUGAGUAAGAGCAUAGCUGUUGGGACCCGAAAGAUGGUGAACUAUGCGUGAAUAGGGUGAAGCCAGAGGAAACUCUGGUGGAGGCUCGCAGCGGUUCUGACGUGCAAAUCGAUCGUCAAAUUUGCGUAUAGGGGCGAAAGACUAAUCGAACCAUUUAGUAGCUGGUUCCUGC
RNAcentral lists this unclassified non-coding RNA (1414 nucleotides) under uncultured fungus. RNAcentral describes it as "sequence contains 18S rRNA gene, ITS1, 5.8S rRNA gene, ITS2, 28S rRNA gene". The stretch from base 478 to 1414 matches the Rfam family "Eukaryotic large subunit ribosomal RNA", at positions 1 to 961 of the family's 3401-position model. The record is from RNAcentral. Lineage: Eukaryota; Fungi.